This 405-nucleotide ribosomal RNA is filed under the name uncultured bacterium. RNAcentral's name for it is "partial 16S ribosomal RNA". It matches the Rfam family "Bacterial small subunit ribosomal RNA", at positions 28 to 526 of the family's 1533-position model. The record is from RNAcentral.
GAUGAACGCUGGCGGCGUGCCUAAUACAUGCAAGUCGAGCGAAGCGGGGACGGGUGCGUACCACUUGGAUAACCUCCUAUCCGACUGGGUUAACUUCGGGAAACCGGAGCUAAACCUGAUACUUCUAGAUGUAUCCGCGCUGCAUUAGCUGUUUGGGAAGGUAACGGCUUACCAAGGCAACGAUGCAUAGCCGACCUGAGAGGGGGAUCGGCCACACUGGAACUGGGACACGGUCCAGACUCCUACGGGAGGCAGCAGUAGGGAAUCUUCCGCAAUGGGCGAAAGCAUGACGGAGCAACGCCGCGUGAGUGAUGAAGGUCUUCGGAUCGUAAAACUCGGUUAGUAGGGAAGCGGGACCUAAUCAGAAAGCCACGGCGAACUACGUGCCAGCAGCCGCGGUAAUAC